GGGGAUGUAGCUCAAAUGAUAGAGCGCUCACUUAGCAUGCGAGAGGUACUGGGAUCGAUACUCAGCAUCUCUA
This is a transfer RNA of Tropilaelaps mercedesae, 73 nucleotides long. It matches the Rfam family "tRNA". Rfam says of the family: Transfer RNA (tRNA) molecules are approximately 80 nucleotides in length. Their secondary structure includes four short double-helical elements and three loops (D, anti-codon, and T loops). The record is from Rfam. Lineage: Eukaryota; Metazoa; Arthropoda; Arachnida; Mesostigmata; Laelapidae.